UGAUUUUUGAACUGCUGGCGACCGAGUUCCGGCGAUCCUGAUGCGCACCUUGGGCUCCCUCGCGUUCGGUUUCGGCCGCAGGACCAGGAAGGUUUAGGGAAGGCGGCGGGACCCGGCCCCUUGAGGCCAGCCAUGGGCCCGCGUCGCAAACCGGAGACCCCAAGGAGGAGACCCUCUAGCCCGACGCCCGGACCCUCACGACUGAGCUCCAGUGUAGGCUCUCAGACACUGCGCAGAAGACAGAAAUUCAUGUGGCUUAAGGAAAUCAAGACUCUGCAGAAGAACACAGACCUCUUGUUCAGGAAGAAGCCUUUCAGCAUGGUUGUAAGAGAAAUAUGUUGGAAGUUCAGCCGUGGUGUGGACUUAUGGUGGCAAGCCCAUGCCUUGUUGGCCCUUCAGGAGGCAGCAGAAGCUUUCCUCGUCCACCUCUUUGAGGACGCCUACCUCCUCUCCUUACAUGCUGGUCGGGUCACGCUUUUCCCCAAAGACAUUCAGCUGACCAGGAGGAUCCGAGGCUUCGAGGGCGGACUCCCCUAAGCUGCCAGUGGAAUGUGUCCUGUUAAGGUAAGAGUGGUGCUUCACGCUUGUAAGCCAGCACUCGGGAAGCCCAAGACCAAUGUGAACAUCUCACGCGUGCCGAAUGGAUGCCUGCCAGCACUAUAGACUGAGAUCUUUUUUAAAACAAGUGAAUGGAUGAGUUGUGCUCCGUAUUUCUGAUGACAUUACCUGGAAGCAUUUGGAGUUGCAGCUUGACAGUGGUGUCGGAGGAGCUGGCUGGGUUUUGCUGUUUUUAAAUACUGGCUACACGGUGCCCUUAAAACUGUCUGUGAAAGAGAAGACUGUGGCCUUCCCCUGGCACAGAGGUCUGCCCACUCGCUCCCAUGGACACGAGUGUUUGCAGACCAAAGGUCAAUUUGGUUUGUGAAUUGUUCAGUCCUAUGGCUGAAGGUAUCAGACACCCGAUACCUGCCAUGGUAUGGUUAUUUCACUCUUACUGUUCUGUUUGCAACUUUUACCAUUAGUGUUUGUACUUUUAUUUAAAAUAUAAGGAAGAAAAACCUGAAUAAAGCGCUUGAAUCUGUUGUAUGAGAGCUGUGGCGGUCCCGCUGUAUAAAUGCCUGCCUUCCAGAGUGACCUCAUCCUGUCAUCCGUGUUUGCCUGUCAGUCAGC
Mus caroli (Ryukyu mouse) is the source of this 1170-nucleotide non-coding RNA. The record is from RefSeq and is a predicted model, not a curated record. NCBI's taxonomy places the organism in Eukaryota, Metazoa, Chordata, Mammalia, Rodentia, Muridae.